AAGAAAGGAGAAGCGGCAACAAGGCCGCCCACAAGCACCUAACAUUGAGAUCCACUGACAACAUUGGAUUUGAUGAUGUGGACGACAGGGAAACCCUGGGAGCAUCCAACAAUUCUGCCCAGAAAUGUACCCACGCAUGCUACUUUUCAAAAUCCCCUGUGUAUAGCAAGUUCCUGGGGCUAAACCGAAGAUCUGUGUGGUUUUUUUUUUGCAUCUGGAUGAAGCGUGUCCCCCUCGUGGAUCUAUUAAUGUUGCUACAAACCUAAAACCAAGACAUCGAUGAUGGAUACAUAGUAGUAAAUAAAGUUCGCUUGUUCAAAUCUGCUCA
This is a long non-coding RNA of Panicum virgatum (switchgrass), 328 nucleotides long. RefSeq lists it as uncharacterized. The record is from RefSeq and is a predicted model, not a curated record. The transcript is spliced from 2 exons. NCBI's taxonomy places the organism in Eukaryota, Viridiplantae, Streptophyta, Magnoliopsida, Poales, Poaceae.